RNAcentral lists this long non-coding RNA (220 nucleotides) under Solanum tuberosum (potato). RNAcentral describes it as "long non-coding RNA (STUB_LNC007529)". Lineage: Eukaryota; Viridiplantae; Streptophyta; Magnoliopsida; Solanales; Solanaceae. The record is from RNAcentral.
UAAGCUGUCGUGCUCACCUACCACAACAAGCGUGACAACUUUAUAACUGUUGUCCAUUCACUUUUCCUGAACGAUACACUCGGGGGAUCUUGUCCCUCUACUAGAUCCCUCAGUUUGUUAUCAAAACAUCAAAAUAUGUAUAACACAUUGAUUAGCUACGAUUGCGAAUCCAAAGUGUUGAUAUACUUGUGGGUUAUUAACAUAUACUAUGUCCGUCCAC